GCCAGUUUGGUCUAGAGGUUAAGACACCAGGCUAGAAAGCAGGAGAUUGUGAGUUCAAAUCCUGCCUUAGGCA
This is a transfer RNA of Ophiophagus hannah (king cobra), 73 nucleotides long. It matches the Rfam family "tRNA". Rfam says of the family: Transfer RNA (tRNA) molecules are approximately 80 nucleotides in length. Their secondary structure includes four short double-helical elements and three loops (D, anti-codon, and T loops). Further hydrogen bonds mediate the characteristic L-shaped molecular structure. tRNAs have two regions of fundamental functional importance: the anti-codon, which is responsible for specific mRNA codon recognition, and the 3' end, to which the tRNAs corresponding amino acid is attached (by aminoacyl-tRNA synthetases). tRNAs cope with the degeneracy of the genetic code in two manners: having more than one tRNA (with a specific anti-codon) for a particular amino acid; and 'wobble' base-pairing, i.e. permitting non-standard base-pairing at the 3rd anti-codon position. NCBI's taxonomy places the organism in Eukaryota, Metazoa, Chordata, Lepidosauria, Squamata, Elapidae. The record is from Rfam.